RNAcentral lists this ribosomal RNA (201 nucleotides) under uncultured bacterium. RNAcentral describes it as "partial 16S ribosomal RNA". It matches the Rfam family "Bacterial small subunit ribosomal RNA", at positions 328 to 539 of the family's 1533-position model. The record is from RNAcentral.
ACGCUCGACACCUACGGGGGGCAGCAGUGGGGGAAUAUUGCACAAUGGGGGGAAACCCGUGAUGCAGCAACGCCGCGUGAGUGAAGAAGUAUUUCGGUAUGUAAAGCUCUAUCAGCAGGGAAGAAAAUGACGGUACCUGACUAAGAAGCCCCGGCUAACUACGUGCCGGCAGCCGCGGUAAUCUGAGCGGGCUGGCAAGGC